This is an RNA transcript of Fragaria vesca subsp. vesca, 675 nucleotides long. RefSeq lists it as uncharacterized. The record is from RefSeq and is a predicted model, not a curated record. The transcript has 3 exons. NCBI's taxonomy places the organism in Eukaryota, Viridiplantae, Streptophyta, Magnoliopsida, Rosales, Rosaceae.
CUCAACAUUCAUUCACAGUUUCACACAGGCUAGCUUGCUUCUUCCUGCUGCUUACUUCAAGAUCAUCAGCAAUGGCUAGCAGUACUACUCUCCUUCGUCUACUUGUUAUCUUGUUAGGGUUUUCUCUCCUCAUCUGCGCUAAUGCUGUCCCAGUUACAAGAAUCGGAGGCCUUAAUAAGCAUAUCGGACCUGAAGUUCAUCAAACCGUUGCAGAGAAUAACAAGCCGAUGACAACAGAGAUGAGAUUUUCUGAGAGGAUGGAUGUGGAGCUUAAUGACUAUCCGGGAUCAGGGGCCAACAACCGCCACACUCCGAAGCCUCAAUAUGCGAGAUGUGCUGAUUGCUAAAUUAAGAAGAAUAUUUCUUCAGUUGCAAGUGUUUAUUUAUCUGCAUGUGGAUUAGAUCUCUCUCUUGCAUGAUCACUGAUUUUAAGUUUAUUAUUGGGCUGAAAUUAGAGGGGAAUGACUGUAACAGUAGGAGUAGAUGAACUAGGUGAUCGAGGUCUGGAUUAGUAUACAUAUAUAAUUAUAUAUGUACCAAGAGGAGUAUGCAUGGAUGGUCAGAGUAGUAUUGAAAUAUGAACAUCAGUACUGUACUGAAAUGGAUGUGAAAGAUCUAGCUGCUUUCUAUCUAUAUAAAUCCAGUGGAUAAAUUGGGCAGUUUAUGCAUGAUUUC